RNAcentral lists this long non-coding RNA (1208 nucleotides) under Homo sapiens (human). Its description in RNAcentral is "HSALNT0004866". Lineage: Eukaryota; Metazoa; Chordata; Mammalia; Primates; Hominidae. The record is from RNAcentral.
AAAUUUCUGUUUCUUACUUUGGGAGGCCAAGGUGUGAGCCACUGUGCCCGACCACACAUAUUCUUUUGUGAAGUAUGUGAUUUUUACUACUACUUUUUUUCUAUUUCUUACUGAGUUAUGUACAAUUUUCAUAUAUUCUGGACCUAAGCGUUGUUCUGUUACGUUUUGCAAAUGUGUUUUCUCAGCGGUAGCUUGUGUUUUCAUUUUUUUUUUUUUUUAAGAGUCAGAGUCUUGCUCUGUUGCCCUGGCAGAAGUACAGUGGUGAUAAUAAUUACUGCAACCUCUAACUCCUGGGCUCAAGUAAUCUUCUCACCUCAUCCUCCUAAGAAGCUGGGAAUAGAGGCAUGCACCACCACGCUCAGCUAAUUAAAAAAAUUUUUUUACUAUGUUGCCCAGGCUGGUCUCAAACACCUGGCCUCAAGCGAUUCUCUUGCCUAGGCCUCCCAAAGUGUUGGGAUUAUAGGUGUGAGCCAGUGCGCCUGGCUGCCUUGUCAUUUUCUUAAUGGUGUUCUCAAAAGGAGAAGCUUUUAAUUGCAAUGGUUUUCAAUUUAUUAACAAAUCCUAGCCGGGUGCAGUGGCUUAUGCCUGUAAUCCCAGCACUUUGGGAGGCCUAGGUGGGUGCAUCACUUGAGGUCAGGGAGUUCGAGACCAGCCUGGCCAACAUGGUAAAACCUCGUCUCUACUAAAACUACAAAAAUUACCCAGGCGUGGUGGCAUGCACCUGUGGUCCCAGCUACUCAGGAGGCUGAGGUGGGGGAAUCACUUGGACUCGGGAGGCAGAGGUUGCAGUGAGCCAAGUUCAAGCCACUGCACUCCAGUCCGGGUGAUAGGGAGAUCCUGUCUCGAAAGAAGAAAAAAAUCUUUGCCUCGUCCAAGAUCAUGAAUAUUUUCCCCAUUUUGUCUUGGAAAUUUACCAGUUUUAAUGUUUUAUCCUGGGAUAAACUCUGAAUUAAAUUUUCUGUGUGCUGUUAAGUAGAGGAUAAUUUUUUUAAUACAAAUACCCAGUUGUUACAUCAUUUACUGAGAAGACUAACCUUUUUGGCAUUCUAUUAUGUUGGGCCCUUUGCCAAAAAUCAACCAGCUACAUUAGUGGGUCUAUUCUGGUAGCUAUUCUGUAACCUGACAAUCUUUACCCCAGUAUCACUGUUUUGAUUUCAGUAGUUUUAUAGCACGUCUUGAACACAGGUAGUAUAAAUCCACCAACUUCG